GGCAAGGGGACUCCGGCCGGGACCUCGUAGGCCGGUUUCUAUGGCAGCCGGGAGGGACGGGCGGGGGAGGGGAUCGAGCGGUGCGGGGACACCCGUUGAAGACACUCGGCGAGGGGGUUUGGGUCUGCCGCAGAGAAGACCCCUCCUAGUGCACGCAUGGGAAGAGGGGACAGAGCCGAAUGCGGGUUGUCACAGCUCCAUGAACUUUCGCCUGGUGCUGAGCCGCUCCAGCUCUUGAGCAAGGGUUUCCGUGUCCUUGGGAGACCGCGACCCAAUAAUCCUCGCCACAGAAAGGGGGUUUCCAGAAAAACACCGUGGCAGCUCCUCCAGGAAUAUUUAACAAAUAUUGGAAGAAGAUGCAGAGCAAAAGUUUUCUAAGACUGCAUACUCCUGUAGAGUUGAAUUUGUAACUCAAAAGAGUAAAACCUGUUCCAGGACUUCCAGUACUAUGUUUAACAGAAGUGAGAAGAGUGGGCAUCCUUGUCUUGUUCCUGAUCUUAGGAGGAAAAGGUUUCAGUUUUUCACUUGUUAUACAGAAUUGUUUCAAUCUGCUAAUGCAAGGCUAUGAGAAGCUAUUAACAGGAAGAACAAAGAGAAAAUUACUUUAAACACAGAUUUUUAGACUAAGAAAUGCCCAAGUCCAAACUGCACACAAUAUGUACAACUGCAAAUCAUAAGAUAUCUAUGUUUUCCCCAUCCGCUUUAUACACUUGAAUGUGGUCAGGACAAUAGUGAAAAUACUGGUAGAAUAGCCACUUAAGUAUUUAAAGCAGCACUCACUAUUUAUGUAACAAAAGAAUACCAUUCAGGGAGUUAGAACUUUCAAGUUUUAGUCCCAGCUUUUCCAUUAACU
Molecule: long non-coding RNA, 853 nt
Organism: Cynocephalus volans (Philippine flying lemur)
Lineage: Eukaryota; Metazoa; Chordata; Mammalia; Dermoptera; Cynocephalidae
Exons: 4
Source: RefSeq, a predicted model, not a curated record